GAUUAAACUAAAGAGUUUGAUCCUGGCUCAGAUUGAACGCUGGCGGCAUGCCUUACACAUGCAAGUCGAACGGUAGAGUAGCAAUACUCGAGAGUGGCGAACGGGUGAGUAAUAUGAGUGGCGAACGGGUGAGUAAUAUAUCGGAACGUGCCCAGUCGUGGGGGAUAACGUAGAGAAAUUUACGCUAAUACCGCAUACGAUCUAAGGAUGAAAGCGGGGGACUCGCAAGGGCCUCGCGCGAUUGGAGCGGCUGAUAUCAGAUUAGGUUGUUGGUGAGGUAAAAGCUCACCAAGCCGACGAUCUGUAGCUGGUUUGAGAGAACGACCAGCCACACUGGGACUGAGACACGGCCCAGACUCCUACGGGAGGCAGCAGUGGGGAAUUUUGGACAAUGGGCGAAAGCCUGAUCCAGCAAUGCCGCGUGCAGGAAGAAGGCCUUCGGGUUGUAAACUGCUUUUGUACGGAACGAAACGGUCCUUUCUAAUAAAGAGGGCUAAUGACGGUACCGUAAGAAUAAGCACCGGCUAACUACGUGCCAGCAGCCGCGGUAAUACGUAGGGUGCGAGCGUUAAUCGGAAUUACUGGGCGUAAAGCGUGCGCAGGCGGUU
This 608-nucleotide ribosomal RNA is filed under the name Polaromonas sp. 39-63-25. RNAcentral's name for it is "bacterial SSU rRNA". It matches the Rfam family "Bacterial small subunit ribosomal RNA", at positions 1 to 580 of the family's 1533-position model. The record is from RNAcentral. Lineage: Bacteria; Pseudomonadati; Pseudomonadota; Betaproteobacteria; Burkholderiales; Comamonadaceae.